AUUGAACGCUGGCGGCAUGCUUUACACAUGCAAGCCGAACGGCAGCGCGGGCUUCGGCCUGGCGGCGAGUGGCGAACGGGUGAGUAAUGCAUCGGAACGUGCCCAGUAGUGGGGGAUAGCCCGGCGAAAGCCGGAUUAAUACCGCAUACGACCUGCGGGUGAAAGCGGGGGACCGAAAGGCCUCGCGCUAUUGGAGCGGCCGAUGUCGGAUUAGCUAGUUGGUGGGGUAAAGGCUUACCAAGGCGACGAUCCGUAGGUGGUCUGAGAGGACGACCAGCCACACUGGGACUGAGACACGGCCCAGACUCCUACGGGAGGCAGCAGUGGGGAAUUUUGGACAAUGGGGGCAACCCUGAUCCAGCCAUGCCGCGUGCGGGAAGAAGGCCUCCGGGUUGUAAACCGCUUUUGUUCGGGAAGAAAUCCUCUGGGCUAAUACCCCGGGGGGAUGACGGUACCGGAAGAAUAAGCACCGGCUAACUACGUG
This 484-nucleotide ribosomal RNA is filed under the name uncultured bacterium. RNAcentral's name for it is "partial 16S ribosomal RNA". It matches the Rfam family "Bacterial small subunit ribosomal RNA", at positions 28 to 507 of the family's 1533-position model. The record is from RNAcentral.